CGUGCUUGGCGAGGACCUGCAGCGUCGGGCGUUGGACCCGGCCGACCUGGAUGAUCCGGUCCUCGUUCUGCUCGAGGAAGGACGCC
Molecule: transfer RNA, 86 nt
Filed under: Phycicoccus sp. DTK01
Lineage: Bacteria; Bacillati; Actinomycetota; Actinomycetes; Micrococcales; Intrasporangiaceae
Description: tRNA-Ser
Source: RNAcentral